This 1070-nucleotide long non-coding RNA is filed under the name Anser brachyrhynchus (Pink-footed goose). Its description in RNAcentral is "lncRNA (ENSABRG00000020627.1)". The record is from RNAcentral. Lineage: Eukaryota; Metazoa; Chordata; Aves; Anseriformes; Anatidae.
CCGUGCUCCACGGAUAUUGGUGGGAUUUAGGUAGCUGUAGACUGGAGCUGGGGGAAUUUCAUCCUGCAGGACCCCGGGGAUGUUUGGCUGGGUUUUAGCUGGUGUAAACGGCCAGCUCCUUGCAGACUCUGAUGGGAGGAGAGGUUUGGAGCCCCCUGCCUCCCCUUGGCUGCAGGGCUCCCCAGGGGGAUGUGGUUCUGAAGCGGUGGUCCUGAGGUGGGUAUGCUCUCCUCCUGCUGACCAGGAGAGGCAAGGUCUGGGCUGAUCCUUCCUCUGCUCAUCCCCUGGCUGAGGGAAGGAUUUUUUUUUGGCUGCAGGUGCCCCACAAAGAGUGUCCAGCUCCCUUUGGUCACCCCUGUGGGUAAGCUUGGAGCCCCUGGGACCCCUGCACGCCCCGCCAGGUCCUCAGCCCAUCAAGGUUUCAGACACCCCCGUUUUAGGGCUGAGGACAGACACCAGCCCUCCCCAUGCCCCAUGGCACCGGCUGCAUGCUCAGUGCCAAGGAGAUGCUGGGAUCGUGCUGGCUGGAGAUCGUCUUCCUCCACUCUCGUCCUCCCAAGGCAAGCUGCAGUGGUUGGCAGCAAACCCUGCUUGUCCCCCACCUGUGCCUGCACCAGUGCUGCUUGGAUGUCGUGUGCCAUCAAGGGGCUUCAGCUGCUGCCAGCUGAACGAGCCCUUCCAGGACCAGAAGAUUGAUCUAGAUGGCAUUAAUGCACGGACAGAUCCCAAAAGGAGCUGCUCAGCCCAGGUCCAGUGAGUGCAGGGAGGUGAGUGUCCAGAUUGGGUCCGAUGGAUCACAUCUCCACAAGGUCCUGCCUUUUUCCACUGAGAUCCCAGUGCAAUGGCUCAAGAGUAGGUGCCCAUGGUUAUAUUGGGCAGCUUGUCACAGCCCCGGGCCAUGGGCUUUAGGCACUGCGAGUCCGAGGCUCUAAAUGGCUUACCCUGCUCCAUCGACAGCUCCACCGUGGGGCUGAAACCAAACAUGCCUGCUGUUAUCUAGCACUUACUGGCAUCCACCCAUUUUCAUUUCCAAAGGCUUUGGAAGCCUGGGUCGGAGGGAUUUUUCUCGA